This 4022-nucleotide long non-coding RNA is filed under the name Solanum lycopersicum (tomato). RNAcentral describes it as "long non-coding RNA (SLYC_LNC000493)". Lineage: Eukaryota; Viridiplantae; Streptophyta; Magnoliopsida; Solanales; Solanaceae. The record is from RNAcentral.
UCAAACAUUUAUUAUUAUCCCCAAAAUCUGGAAAUCAUCAUCACAAGAACAUCUAUCCUCAAAUUACUAAAGCUAAGAGUAUCUAAGAAACUAAACAUAAAUAAUAGCUAGUCUAUGCCAGAACUUCAAGGCAUCAAAACAUGAAGAAGAAGAUCCAGUCCAAGCUAGAAGCUUUAGCUCACCCUGAAAUCUGGUGUGACGAAGACUGGCUAGAGUUGCGGUUGAGUUGAAGAUGACGGUACGUUUGCUGCACUUCACAAAUAACAAAAAAGAAAACAUACAAGUAGGGGUCAGUAGAAAACACGGGUACUGAGUAGAUAUCAUCGGCCAACUCAAAAUAGAAACAAUAUGCAUCAAGUAAUAAUAUAAAAUCAACUACAUUACUCAACAUGUAGCAACAACAAGUACUAUAAUCGUUAAUAAGUACCGCCAAGUUCACAUAUGAGGGCUCAAGCCUCCAUAUCAUACUCAUUUGGGAAUUAGGUUCAUUAGAUUGAGUAUAUUAACAUCUUUCAAGAUUCAUCACCUUUAUUCUUGUGUCGGUACGUGACACUCCGCUCCCCUACUACUAUGUGUCGGAACGAGACACUCCGAUCCCCUAAUUCUACGUGUCGGUUCGUGACACCCGAUCCCCUAAUUCUACGUGUCGGUUCGUGACACCCGAUCUCCUAAUUCUACGUGUCGUUUCGUGACACUCGAUCCCCUAAUUCUACGUGUCGGUUCGUGACACCCAAUCCACUAAUCUCAUUCUAUUAAUUCAUCAAACCUUCUUUUAUACCAAGGCAUCUUCAAUCUCAUCAAUCUCAUCCCUUUAGUUCAUCAAGCCCUCUUUUAUACCAAAACAUCAUCAUUAACAAGGGAUUUUCAAGAUUUGGGAUUCAAUAGCUUCAUCAUGCUUAUUUCAUCACAAUUAUAUAAUCACAUUCAUGCAAACAUACAAUUAAGCAUAUAGAAGACUUUACAAUACAACCCAACACAUAUCAUUCGCUAUUAAGAGUUAACUACGAAUAGUAUAAAAACCAUAACCUACCUCCACCGAAGAUUCGUGAUCAAGCAAGCAAUUUCCCCAAAGCUUUGUUAUCCUCUUCGUUCCUCUCUCUCUCUUGAUCGAUUCUCCCUCUCUUUCUGUUCUUUUCUUUUUCUUAUUCAAACCCUCUUUCUUUUACCCUAAUUAACAUAUAAUUAAGAAUGAAAGAUGGCAAUAAUAACCCACUAAUUUACUCAAGGUUACCUCUUUUAGAUCCCAAGUAAUUGAGUUAUUAAUAUUAAACCACUAACUUUAUAAUUAUAAGCCGGAAUAGUCCAAAACGUCCCUUAAAACAUUAAAGAAAUCCGACUCUGUCUGGGAUUACGCAGCGUGUGACGGGCCGUCGUGCCUCCGACGGUCCGUCCUGCUGCUCCGUCACAGAGUUCAGAGAUUCAAUUCUCUGAAGAGUCUGUGACGGUCCGUCCUGCCAUUCCGUUACGAAGUUCAGAGAGUCGAUUUCAGUACCUAUUUUUCAGAAUUUCUAAGUGUUUUGAAACGAGAUCCCCUCGACGGUCCGUCGUGCCCAUGACGGUCCGUUGUGGGUUCCGUCAUCUCAGCCUGUUUUUUCAGAAAUAAAAUCUGCUGCUCAAAACAACUAAACAGGUCGUUACAGUCGUCUCAGCCAGUUUUUCCAGAAAUAAAAUCUGCUGCUCAAAACGACUAAACAGGUCGUUACACCAAUACACCAAUCUCUUCGGUUAGUGCAGUGCGUAUUUAAUUUAAUGACAUCUGUCAAUUCUAAAAAUCUAAUAAUCCAUAUUUAUUUGAAUAAACAUCCUUUAAACCAUGGUUAAACAAUUUCUCUCUCUUCAAUCUUUUCUUUCUAUUUAUUAUUAUGCAGGAAACAACCUUCCUCUCUUUAGAGGAUUAUUUUAUUAAGUAAAUUUAAUUACGCAAAAUAAAUUACAAAAUUCAUUUUUUUGAUUCUUUUCUCACCAAUAUUAAUUGAAGAUACUUGUUACCCUCCUAAAAUACUUUAGUAAAAGCAUAUAAUAAGAUCUAAAAUAUUUUUUGGGUUAUGAAAUUAUACAAGUUCAAGUAAGAAGAGUAAACUGAAUUCGUUUGAUGGUUGUUUAGGCAUCAUCAUAAUUCGUUGUCUAAACAACCAUCGAGCGAAUUUUGCAGCAAAAAGCAAACAUCAUUUUUAUUUUCUACUCAAUUAUACUGUUUUUCACGCCCUUACAAUUAUGGUGAAAUCCGAGCAACUCUCUCAUCAAUAAAUUGUACUUACAAAAAAAAAGCUUUUAUAUAUAUAUAUAUAUAUAUAUAUAUAUAUAUAUAUAUAUAUAUAUAUAUAUUAGUUCGUUUCGAAAGAGUGACAUAUUUUCAAAUUUAAAACUUUGCUUUGAACAUGCUUUUUAAUCUUAAAUAUCCCAACUCUUUGAUAUUUAUAUAAGAGAACAAGACAUCAAAUAUUGUCUUUCUCACGACUCAAAGUAGAAGUAAUCAUCUCAAAAUCUCAGAAAUGUUUGGAUAUUCACAAAGAGAUUAAAACAUCAAAUAUUAUCUCUCUCAAAGUUGAUGCUCGAUAUUUGUAACGAUCAAAUACACCACAAGAUUGUCUUUUAAGUCAUCUUACAUUGGAAAAUCACAAGAUAUAUAGAAUUAUACUCACAUAUAAUCAUCCAUCAAAAAAAAUAUAUAUUCAUCAUAGAAAAGUCAUUCGUUUCAAAACUAUAACAAACAACAAACUUUAUAGUUACACAAAUAUUAUAAUUUAGUGAAUACUUUUGUAUGCGUGUGAAGAAAGGUUCAAGUUAGAAUUUUACUCGAUAAUAUGGUAUAAGUUUCGAUGACUGUGAGAUCGACUAUUCUGAAGAAAACAUAAUCAUGCCUCCUGAUCUAUAGAUCAAUUUUAGCGGUAAUUAAGCUAUUAAAUAUUAAUUAAUUGUCGCAAGAGAUCAUUUUUGGUGUAGUGUGUAUCCAUACAACAAUGUAAUGUUACUAAAAAUCAAGUGGCAAUGAACUCAAAACAAAAACCAACAAGUUUCCCUUCCGUUCCAACUUUUCUCGACAUACUAUCAUAAGAUGAGGUGUAGUGUGUGAGGUUACUUCUUCCUUAAUCAAAGGUCUCAGUUUUGAGCUCUGGUUGACAGAAAGUGCUACGUGGGGUCUGAUUAGGAUAAAGUAUAAGUAGGGACAAACUCACAUUGAAGGCUCUGGAUGCUCGAGAAUCCAUUGAUCUUGUAUCGAACCAUUUGUAUAUUUAUGUAGAAGUAUGAGAGAAUGGUAUAAAAUGAAACAGUGAGCACUAGAAAACAAACUUUUACUUGGUGUAGUGGUCGUUUGUGGACGCUCAAAGUUGUAUAUUGCAUGUGCAUACACUGAAUCCUACCUCAAAGGCAGAGAAGUUAUUUCAGAUUGACCCCCAUUCAUGGAUAAAAGAUAGUUCAAAACAAUCCUACAAAAAAAAGUAACAGAAGUAUAAGAAAUAGUAGAUAGUAACAAACACGGGAUAGUAUUAGGACAAUAAUUACAAUAAAAUGAUAUGAUAGUCGCAAUGAAAUAAAUAAUAGAUAGUAACAGAAAUUGAAGGACCGGACACUAAGGGAGAAUGGUACAACAACUAGUAUGAUGGAUAACAAGACAACAACAUUACUACAACCUACAUACUAACCUUUUUGCUCUAUUUGUGCCUCCCACAACUUCUUAUUCGAGAUAAUCUUUUCAAUAAGCAGAAAUUGUGUCAUGUUACCUUUUUCAAAAUUUUAAUCGAUCUUUCUCUAUCUCCUGAAAUCAUACAUCGUUAACCUCUCACCUGCUCACUAGGAUAUCCAUAUGAACUACAAAGCCUGACCAUAGAUUCUUGGGAGAAAAUUAGGCUCAAAUUCACACUCGAAAGUCUGAAGUUUCAAUUUUAACAAUACAAACUUCAAACGUUCAAAUUUGGAAUAAGGAUCUAGUCGUUCAAAUUUUUUAAAUAGAAAGCUUGAAAAUAAUAAGAUGAACACACUGAAAUUUGCACAAUGAAAUUAAGUUUUAAACAACUUUUCAU